This is a long non-coding RNA of Oncorhynchus keta (chum salmon), 323 nucleotides long. RefSeq lists it as uncharacterized. The record is from RefSeq and is a predicted model, not a curated record. The transcript is spliced from 3 exons. Lineage: Eukaryota; Metazoa; Chordata; Actinopteri; Salmoniformes; Salmonidae.
GACAACAUUAAGGGACAGUUUGAGCCUCCUGAUGUAGUGGAGGUGAUGAUGUAGUGGGGCUGAUGAUGUAAUGGAGGUGAUGAUGUAAUGGAGGUGAUGAUGUAAUGGAGGUGAUGAUGUAAUGGAGGUGAUGAUGUAGUGGAGGUGAUGAUGUAGUGGAGGUGAUGAUGUAGUGGAGGUGAUGAUGUAGUGGAGGUGAUGAUGUAAUGGAGGUGAUGAUGUAGUGGAGGUGAUGAUGUAAUGGAGGUGAUGAUGUAGUGGAGGUGAUGAUGUAAUGGGGGUGAUGAUGUAAUGGAGGUGAUGAUGUAGUGGGGGUGAUGAUG